GCCCCCGUAGCUCAGAGGAUAGAGUGCUGGCCUCCGGAGCCAGAAGCGUGGGUUUGAAUCCCACCGAGGGUAC
Molecule: transfer RNA, 73 nt
Filed under: Chloroflexota bacterium
Lineage: Bacteria; Bacillati; Chloroflexota
Description: tRNA-Arg
Rfam family: tRNA
About the family: Transfer RNA (tRNA) molecules are approximately 80 nucleotides in length. Their secondary structure includes four short double-helical elements and three loops (D, anti-codon, and T loops). Further hydrogen bonds mediate the characteristic L-shaped molecular structure. tRNAs have two regions of fundamental functional importance: the anti-codon, which is responsible for specific mRNA codon recognition, and the 3' end, to which the tRNAs corresponding amino acid is attached (by aminoacyl-tRNA synthetases). tRNAs cope with the degeneracy of the genetic code in two manners: having more than one tRNA (with a specific anti-codon) for a particular amino acid; and 'wobble' base-pairing, i.e. permitting non-standard base-pairing at the 3rd anti-codon position.
Source: RNAcentral